GUUGGGAGAGCUGCAGGCGGAGCUGAACACAGGAAAGCCGCUAGAAGCCAGAGGCUGAGCGGAGAGGAGGCGGAGCCAACGAGAGGAAACUACGGGCCUAGUCGCCACCGGAAGGGAAGAAGUCAGGGACAGAAUGGGCCUACACUAGUUCUGUUGUGACGCUCAGAACCAGGGGCGGGUGUCUAGGUGGUGACAUUCCGGGCACUGAGAACAUAGGAGGAGGUGCGCUGUCUCCUGCAAAGACUGCAACGAGUCCUCCGUACUGCUGGGACCAGCGUAGGCAGACCGAAGAGUUGGAGCCAGAGACAGCGAGUUAACCAACCGUGCGCAGGCAGGACGCGGAGCAUCUUGGAACUCGACUUGAACAUGAAGAGUGCUGGCGUCUCCAUGACUACCUAGUGGGCACUUUAGGCCCCUAUGUGAUCAACGUGACCAAGGCUGCCACAGCCUGCAGUCACCAGCGAUGCCAUGGCCACGGUCGCUGUUCCUGGAAAGACCCAGGACAAAUGGAAGCCUUUCUACAUCUGCAGCCAGAUGACAAUCUUGGAGCUUGGAAGUCCUUCAGAUGCCGUUGUUACUUGGGCUGGUCUGGCCCUACCUGCCUGGAGCCUAAACCCUGAGCCCAAGAAAACAACAUGGAUUCAGGAGUUCCUGUCUUUGCUUCUUGACCCUGUUGCUACUUUCCUAGUCCUAGAGGAAUUCCCAUUUAUGCUUUGUUUAGCUUAUAGAACUUCCCCAAGUACAUAUCCCACUUCCAUCAACACACCUUCCGUAGGAAUUCCUGAGGAAUAGAUAGGGCCUAAUAAAAAUAUAAAACCAGGGCUGGAGAGAUGGCUCAGUGGUUAAGAGCACUGACUGCUCUUCCAGAGGUCCUGAGUUCAAUUCUCAGCAACCACAUGGUGGCUCACAACCACCUAUAAUGAC
RNAcentral lists this long non-coding RNA (924 nucleotides) under Rattus norvegicus (Norway rat). Its description in RNAcentral is "long non-coding RNA NONRATT028026". The stretch from base 832 to 889 matches the Rfam family "tRNA", at positions 8 to 63 of the family's 71-position model. Lineage: Eukaryota; Metazoa; Chordata; Mammalia; Rodentia; Muridae. The record is from RNAcentral.